AUUGACCAACAUUCCAAUUGAAAGUGUAUCUACAGUUGACGAUCUCAAUAGCAAUAAGGUUGGUGUUGAACAGGAAGAAUGUCUAGCAGCUAACACCUCACACUUAACAGGGAAAAGGCUGGAUUUGUCUGAUAGAACAAUGAAAACCAAACUUAAAAGGAGUUAGAAAAAUUGAAGAAGAAGAAAUUAAAAAAGAAAAAUAACAAGAAGUGGUCCUGAAUUGCCCAACUUGCACAAGCCACCGAGGCAGCAUCAGUGUCAUCAACCUCUGAUCCCACAGAGUUUGUCAAAACAGGUAUUCCUGAACCAAGACCAACAAGUACACCGCUAACACCAAUUUUCAACAGCGAAGGCUGCCUAGUAUUCAGCAAAUUUGAUUUAGGAGAACUAUCUAAUCCCUCACCCAUUCUGAACAAGAACACUUUAGAUUGAAAAGUAGCAACGAUAAAAAAAAACUCAAAGCCAAAGUGAAAAUCUUGGAUGGCCAAGCUGAAGUUGGAAUGUGAGAAGUAUUGAAGAGAAACAGGCAUGAAAAGGUGCUUUGCAAAGAGCUGAAGGUUUUCAGGUAAAAAACAAUGUGGAAUGGCUUGCUAAAUCUAUUAUGAAACAAGAUGAAAUCAAAUCAGAUAGUAAAAAGAAGUUGGCUGAACGCAUCGAAGAAUAGGAAAAGAGAAAGGAAUAACAACAGAAAACGAGAAAAGCCAACAUUAAGAAAAAGAAAACUGAGAAGAAAGAACAUAAACUGAAUGAACGCCUCACACUUAACAGAGGAAAAGCUGGAAUUGUCUGAUAAGACAACGAAAAUCCAAUUUAAACGGAAGUUAGAGGGAAUGAAGAAGAAAUUAAAAAGAAAAAGUAAGAAGAAGAGGUCCUGAAUUGCCAAACAUGCUCGAGCCACCAAGGCAGUAUCUGUGUCAUCAACCUCUGGUCUUUCAGAGUUUGUUCAAACAGAAAUUCCUGAACCAAGACUAGCAAGUACACUGGCAACACCAAUUUUUAACAGUGAAGGCUGCCUAGUUUCCAGCAAAUUUGAUUUU
Molecule: long non-coding RNA, 1037 nt
Organism: Daphnia carinata
Lineage: Eukaryota; Metazoa; Arthropoda; Branchiopoda; Diplostraca; Daphniidae
Exons: 4
Source: RefSeq, a predicted model, not a curated record